AUUAAUCUGAAAUGUGCGAUAACUCUUGUCAUUUUGAACCUACAUCACUUUAAAAGGGAUUCCUAUAUUGCCUGAUUGAUGUCAAGCCCCCCAUUGUUGGUCAGGGGAAGGCAGAGAGAAGGUUGCGGUUGCCCACCUAGCUUUGCUAGGAGUCAAAAUACAGGAGCCGGCAUUUUGGAGAACAC
This 185-nucleotide non-coding RNA is filed under the name Lachnospiraceae bacterium. RNAcentral's name for it is "6S RNA". It matches the Rfam family "6S / SsrS RNA". From Rfam's summary of the family: E. coli 6S RNA was the first non coding RNA to be sequenced, but its function was unknown until recently. Lineage: Bacteria; Bacillati; Bacillota; Clostridia; Lachnospirales; Lachnospiraceae. The record is from RNAcentral.